UUGAUGGUGGGGUAAUGGCCUACCAUGGCUUUGAUGGGUACCGGGUGUGAGAGCAUGGCCCGGCUCACUGGGACUGAGACACUGCCCAGACACCUACGGGUGGCUGCAGUCGAGAAUCUUCGGCAAUGGACGCAAGUCUGACCGAGCGACGCCGCGUGCGGGACGGAGGCCUUCGGGUUGUAAACCGCUGUCAGUUAGGAGGAAGGUUCCGUGAAGAGCGGGACUUGACCGAUUUUCAGAGGAAGCGCAGGCUAAGUUCGUGCCAGCAGCCGCGGUAA
RNAcentral lists this ribosomal RNA (278 nucleotides) under Protocruzia adhaerens. Its description in RNAcentral is "Protocruzia adherens partial Bacterial small subunit ribosomal RNA". It matches the Rfam family "Bacterial small subunit ribosomal RNA", at positions 246 to 523 of the family's 1533-position model. Lineage: Eukaryota; Ciliophora; Spirotrichea. The record is from RNAcentral.